CUUCUUUUCCCUUCUGCUUCCCAUUCCAGACCUCUCUCUUUUUGCGUACUCCGCCGGGAAGAACAGGGCUCAGUGGGAGGGGACUGUCUCAGGUCCCUCAAAGGGUUCUCACUACAAUGGUGCUCUGGGCUACCCAGUUCCUGCUGGGGCUGCUGUUUGGUUGCUGUCGGGGCUACAACAGCCUUAAGGGUGCCCCUCGUGUCUACUUAACCUACAAAGUUAGCCUCAACGGCUACAAGAUCUUUCUGCAUAUUGAUUCUACAGACAAACACAGAUGUAUCUUUGAAUUUCAGAA
This is a long non-coding RNA of Sceloporus undulatus (fence lizard), 295 nucleotides long. RefSeq lists it as uncharacterized. The record is from RefSeq and is a predicted model, not a curated record. The transcript has 3 exons. Lineage: Eukaryota; Metazoa; Chordata; Lepidosauria; Squamata; Phrynosomatidae.